Molecule: non-coding RNA, 74 nt
Organism: Ameiurus melas (black bullhead)
Lineage: Eukaryota; Metazoa; Chordata; Actinopteri; Siluriformes; Ictaluridae
Source: the annotation of a GenBank genome assembly
GGCAAUGGGAUCUCAGUGGUUAGAACAUUGGACUACUGAUCGGAAGGUUGCGAGUUCAAAUCUCAGCAUUGCCA